CUAAACAGCUAGAUCAAUCAAUUAGUUUUGAUUCUCAAUUUCUACAAGCAUGCACCGUAUUUGAUAACAAAACUAACUUUCUUUGCAAAAUUCACAAGUAAAACGGUGAAGAGACUGAUCUUUGGAAUCACAAAAAAGGCUGGUGUAUAAAACGGAUCCUUGUAUAUAUAUAACAAACCAUCUGUCUUGGACUAUAAGGGAAAGAGAUGCAACANAUAUCUAUUGGAACAAUGUCACGUGAUUGAAAUAAAAGAAUAACUGAGAGAUCAAUAUGAUCUAAAGAACUCAGUGUUGCGUGUCUUGAUUAAGACACUACUAAAGGUAGUUAACCUUCUUGUAAUAUACAACACACACAAGAGAUGGCGUCCCAUCCAACUCCUAUCACACAAACAGGUAGUCCUUGUGUCCCCUAUAAUUAGAGUUGUUCAUCUCAGUUAGAAUAGUGAAUUAUGAAAAGGAUUCAACACUAGGAGAAUAUAUGUUGUCCUUUGAUGAAUAAAAUUUUGAGGCACAUUUUGGAUUAAGACGGAAUAGAUUUCAAAGGUGCUUAUUUCAGUAAAAAGAAUAAUCAUAAAUGAUACAGUAAGCACCAUCAUCAUCCCAUAAUUCAAGAGAGGAAACUAUAUUCUUUAUCACACGUCUAUAGGAAAGAGAUGCAACACGAAAAAUCCAAUCCCGUAUAUAUUACUUGGUGAAAACACCCAACUCUUUUCCUACCAGAUUAAUUGGAGAUUUGAAGUAUAACCAGCCCUCUUUCCCAUAAAAAAUGAACCUAAUAAGAGGUGGUUGCCACCAUAUUCAAACGCCAGCAUAUAUUACAAGCUUGAAUAACUGAGAACAAUACCCUACUUACUUAACAUGUGAACCUUAAAAUUACACAGACCUCACAUAUUAGGUUGGUAGACUUAUUGCAUUUUGUUCACUAGCGGAAGGCUUUAGUAAAGAGGGGCCUGUAUUAAAUCCAUUUGCCAUGGUAGGCUCGGGAGAAGAACCUUUGGAGAUUGUGAACUUUGUUGAUUCUGAUAAUACUUCGACUGCAG
RNAcentral lists this long non-coding RNA (1040 nucleotides) under Daucus carota (carrot). RNAcentral describes it as "long non-coding RNA (DCAR_LNC003233)". Lineage: Eukaryota; Viridiplantae; Streptophyta; Magnoliopsida; Apiales; Apiaceae. The record is from RNAcentral.